Molecule: transfer RNA, 72 nt
Filed under: Candidatus Wolfebacteria bacterium CG_4_10_14_0_8_um_filter_37_11
Lineage: Bacteria; Candidatus Wolfeibacteriota
Description: tRNA-Phe
Rfam family: tRNA
About the family: Transfer RNA (tRNA) molecules are approximately 80 nucleotides in length. Their secondary structure includes four short double-helical elements and three loops (D, anti-codon, and T loops).
Source: RNAcentral
GCCGCGAUAGCUCAGUGGUAGAGCGCAACCCUGAAGAGGUUGGCGUCGGGAGUUCGAUUCUCUCUCGCGGCA